This 413-nucleotide unclassified non-coding RNA is filed under the name Hevea brasiliensis (rubber tree). Lineage: Eukaryota; Viridiplantae; Streptophyta; Magnoliopsida; Malpighiales; Euphorbiaceae. The record is from RNAcentral.
AAUGGAGUCCAUAUUCUUGAGGUAUACUCAUCAGUUUCACAAAAGCUAUGGAUAAGAAUUUUCAGAUUUGAUUGCAUUUAGACAGUAGUUAUUGAAGGCACAAAAUUAAGGCACAAAGGGAUCUUGGAAUCUUAAAACAAGGUGUAAGUGUGCACCUCAGAUAGGUAAGGUGCAAAAGAGCUAAAAUAAGGUUAUUCUUAUUAAUAACAUAAAAUUUAGAAUUCUAGCAACGAUAUUUUUGAAAUCAAAGUAAAAACAUGCAUAUGAUAUACAUAAAACUUAUCCAUAAGAGGCAGCAUGGCAUAAUUAACAAUUUAACGUGGCAGAAUUAACAAUUAAAGAUGGAAAAUUAACAAGGUAGAAAAAGUGUUACCAAAAAAAAAAAGAGGAAAAGCAUAAGAAAAAGGAAAAUG